GAUGAACGCUGGCGGCGUGCCUAAUACAUGCAAGUCGAACGAGGUGCUUUUGUAGCAAUACGAGAGUAUCCUAGUGGCGAACGGGUGAGUAACGCGUUGGUGACCUACCCCAAAGUGUGGGAUAACAGUCCGAAAGGAUUGCUAAUACCGCAUGUGGUCUUCGGGUUUAGAAACUGAUGACUAAAGGAGCAAUUCGCUUUGGGAGGGACCUGCGUCCCAUCAGCUAGUUGGUGAGGUAAUGGCUCACCAAGGCUACGACGGGUAGGGGACCUGAGAGGGUGACCCCCCCACAAUGGAACUGAAACACGGUCCAUACACCUACGGGUGGCAGCAGUAGGGAAUAUUGCACGAUGGGCGAAAGCCUGAUGCAGCAACGCCGCGUGUGCGAUGAAGGCCUUCGGGUCGUAAAGCACUUUUCUGGGAGAUGAGCAAGGACAGUAUCUCAGGAAUAAGUCUCGGCUAACUACGUGCCAGC
This 475-nucleotide ribosomal RNA is filed under the name uncultured bacterium. Its description in RNAcentral is "bacterial SSU rRNA". It matches the Rfam family "Bacterial small subunit ribosomal RNA", at positions 28 to 512 of the family's 1533-position model. The record is from RNAcentral.